Molecule: ribosomal RNA, 305 nt
Filed under: uncultured bacterium
Lineage: Bacteria
Description: bacterial SSU rRNA
Rfam family: Bacterial small subunit ribosomal RNA
Source: RNAcentral
CCUACGGGGGGCAGCAGUGAGGAAUAUUGGUCAAUGGGCGGGAGCCUGAACCAGCCAAGUCGCGUGAAGGAAGAAGGUACUUAGUAUUGUAAACCUCUUUUGUCGGGGAGCAAAAGCCGGACGUGUCCGGCUGUGAGAGUACCCGAAGAAAAAGCAUCGGCUAACUCCGUGCCAGCAGCCGCGGUAAUACGGAGGAUGCGAGCGUUAUCCGGAUUUAUUGGGUUUAAAGGGUGCGCAGGCGGAUUUUUAAGUCAGCGGUCAAAUCGUGGGGCUCAACCCCAUCCAGCCGUUGAAACUUGGGAUCU